CCUACGGGUGGCAGCAGUAGGGAAUCUUCCACAAUGGGCGAAAGCCUGAUGGAGCAACGCCGCGUGGGUGAAGAAGGUCUUCGGAUUGUAAAACCCUGUUGUUAGAGAAGUAAGUUCGUGUGAGUAACCGUUCACGUCUCGACGGUAUCUAUCCAGAAAGCCUCGCCUAAAUACGUGCCAGCAGCCGCGGCAAUACGUCGGUGGCAAGCGCUAUCCGGUUUUAUUGGGCGUAAAGGUAGCGCAGGCGGUCUUUUAAGUCUGAUGUGAAAGCCUGCGGCUUAACCGGAGAAGUGCAUUGGAAACUGGGAGACUAGAGUGCAGGAGAGGGGAGUGGAACUCCAUGUGUAGCGGUGAAAUGCGUAGAUAUAUGGAAGAACACCAGUGGCGAAGGCGGCUCACUGGACUGUAACUGACGCUGAGGUUCGAAAGCGUGGGUAGCAAACAGGAUUAGAUACCCUAGUAGUC
Molecule: ribosomal RNA, 465 nt
Filed under: uncultured bacterium
Lineage: Bacteria
Description: partial 16S ribosomal RNA
Rfam family: Bacterial small subunit ribosomal RNA
Source: RNAcentral